RNAcentral lists this long non-coding RNA (1170 nucleotides) under Salvia miltiorrhiza (redroot sage). RNAcentral's name for it is "long non-coding RNA (SMIL_LNC010559)". The record is from RNAcentral. Lineage: Eukaryota; Viridiplantae; Streptophyta; Magnoliopsida; Lamiales; Lamiaceae.
GAUCUUCAUCCGCAAAAACCUCUCCUCCGCCUAAUCUGGAAAUCGCCAUUGUUGCUCUCGAGAUUUCUCGAAGAGGAAAUCACAGGAGGUCUGGAAAUCGGCGCGAGCGAGCCUGCCGCUGCUCGAGCUACCUCCGCGCCGAUCGAUUCUCUCCGAUCGGAGAUGGCGCUAGGGCUUCUGGUGUCAGAAUUGAGCCACACCUCCGCGAGCGAGCCUGCCGCUGCUCGCGCUACCGCCGCGCCAAUCGAUCGAGCGCCGCCUGAAAUUCUUGGCGAGGCCGCACCUCCAGCGAAGUCGUCGUCGACUGCCGUCGUUCUCCCUCUUUCUCAUCUCCUCCGGCGACCACAGCUCCUGCUACAGCCGCCGCCCUCAACAAUUCUCCCUCUCUGCUCGAGCUCCAGCGCCUGAGCCCUAGCUCCCCCAAAUCCAAUCGCGGCGGAGCAAAUACUUCCUCUCAGUCACGUCUAAAGUUAGAAAGAAUAGGUAUGAAAAUAAUUAGAGAUGAUGAUGUGAGCUCCAUGAAAUGAUUCAGGAUGUCUUACUUUUCAGUUUGAGUUUUGUUAAUUCGUGUUGUUGCAACUGAUAAUGUCUAUGCAGCCCCUUCAAACAGUACCCAAAUAUGUAAUCAUCCUGACAAAUUCGAACAAAUAUAGUGAUUUUAACACAUAUUGUUUUGUCUUCAUAUUCUGUGAAUUGUUGUCUAUAUGUAGGCAAAACCAUAUUUGUGUUUCUCUGCACCUAUUAUGCUUAAUAAAACACUUUGUUUCUUUGCAUUUGCCCACGAUUUUACCCAUAAUUUGCAGAUUGGGGAAUUACCUAAAGGAGUAGCAUAGAAUUCUUAUAUUUCAACUAUGAGAUUUUCCUGUUCCUUAUUUGAUUUCUCGGCAUGUCCUCUGACUUUAUUAGUAAAGAAAAGAGAAACAACACUUUUGCCUGAUUGUUCUUUCUAAAUUUUAAAGUUAUGAUCAUGGCAAUUAUCCGUAGCUUGCCUUUUCUUAUGUGUGAACUUGACUAAAUCAUACCCGUUCAUAAUCAUGAAGUUCAACCCUUCUCUCCUUGCCUCUAAAGAUUCAAUGUGGAUUUUGAAACCGUGAUAUUCUUGCAGUUUAGCUAUUAAUUAUGCUGUAUCAUGACGACCUUACAGGAUUACACGUUGUGGUUACAAUGUUU